RNAcentral lists this ribosomal RNA (473 nucleotides) under uncultured bacterium. RNAcentral's name for it is "bacterial SSU rRNA". It matches the Rfam family "Bacterial small subunit ribosomal RNA", at positions 355 to 825 of the family's 1533-position model. The record is from RNAcentral.
UGGGGAAUAUUGGACAAUGGGCGCAAGCCUGAUCCAGCGAUGCCGCGUGUGUGAAGAAGGCCUGCGGGUUGUAAAGCACUUUUAGCGAGGACGAGGUUUUAGGGGGUUAAUAGGUCUCUAAGAUGACGGUACUCGCAGAAAAAGCACCGGCUAACUCUGUGCCAGCAGCCGCGGUAAUACAGAGGGUGCAAGCGUUAAUCGGAAUUACUGGGCGUAAAGCGCGCGUAGGUGGUUAGUUAAGUUGGAUGUGAAAUCCCCGGGCUCAACCUGGGAACUGCAUUCAAAACUGACUGACUAGAGUAUGGUAGAGGGUGGUGGAAUUUCCUGUGUAGCGGUGAAAUGCGUAGAUAUAGGAAGGAACACCAGUGGCGAAGGCGACCACCUGGACUGAUACUGACACUGAGGUGCGAAAGCGUGGGGAGCAAACAGGAUUAGAUACCCCCGUAGUCCCUGAGCGGGCUGGCAAGGCGCAU